RNAcentral lists this ribosomal RNA (468 nucleotides) under uncultured bacterium. RNAcentral's name for it is "SSU rRNA". It matches the Rfam family "Bacterial small subunit ribosomal RNA", at positions 26 to 507 of the family's 1533-position model. The record is from RNAcentral.
AGAACGAACGCUGGCGGCGUGGAUAAGACAUGCAAGUCGAACGGGGCAAUCUGGUAGCAAUAUCAGGCUGCCUAGUGGCAAACGGGUGCGUAACACGUGGAUGACAUUCCGGGAAGCGAGGGAUAGCCCAGGGAAACUUGGAUUAAUACCUCAUGUGGUCGCAAGACUAAAGGCGCAAGCCGCUUCCUGAUUGGUCCGCGGCCUAUCAGCUAGUUGGUGAGGUAAAAGCUCACCAAGGCAACGACGGGUAGCUGGUCUGAGAGGACGACCAGCCACACUGGAACUGAGACACGGUCCAGACACCUACGGGUGGCAGCAGUCGAGAAUCUUUCACAAUGGGGGCAACCCUGAUGGAGCGACGCCGGCGUGGAGGAUAAGGUCUUCGGAUUGUAAACUCCUGUCAUGCGAGAGCAAGGCAUGGCAACAUGCUUGAUAGUAUCGCAAGAGGAAGAGACGGCUAACUCUGUG